This 134-nucleotide small nucleolar RNA is filed under the name Carlito syrichta (Philippine tarsier). RNAcentral's name for it is "Small nucleolar RNA SNORA22 (ENSTSYG00000029210.1)". It matches the Rfam family "Small nucleolar RNA SNORA22". Rfam says of the family: ACA22 is a member of the H/ACA class of snoRNA that guide the sites of modification of uridines to pseudouridines. The record is from Rfam by way of RNAcentral. Lineage: Eukaryota; Metazoa; Chordata; Mammalia; Primates; Tarsiidae.
UUGCACAGUGAGCACCCAAGUGUGCUUCAUGGUUCCCUUGGCUUUGACUCUGUGCUGGAAGAAAGUCUGUUCUUUUCUUCUGCAUUGAAAGGAGUAUUUAACCUUUUAAAUAUAUUCAGAAAGGCUUCACGUUA